CAUUCAAUAUAUGCAUAUUUCAUAAUAAAUCAAUAAACUAUAAUAUUUUAGAAAUCAUUUUUUGUUCAAAAUAUAGUUUUAUAAAUCAUGCAUAGUUUCAAAGAUUAAUUAUUUAUUUUUAAAAUAAAUUAUAAAAUAUCUCAAAAAGAUAGUUUAUUACUUACCUCAUAUGUACUUUGAUAAGAUCCAAAUAAUUUUAAAAAUUUUAUUUCAAAUUUUUAAUAAAUAGAUAAUAUUAUAGAAUCCACUGCUGGAUAUUUUCUUAUUAAGAUGAUCACACCCCU
This 284-nucleotide long non-coding RNA is filed under the name Elaeis guineensis (African oil palm). RNAcentral describes it as "long non-coding RNA (EGUI_LNC002421)". The record is from RNAcentral. Lineage: Eukaryota; Viridiplantae; Streptophyta; Magnoliopsida; Arecales; Arecaceae.